UAUAGUGUUAGGCUACUAUGCUAUCGGAAGCACGGAGCCUUCCGUACUUCCAGCUCAUUUUCAAUGUUGCGACUUUCGAAUCGUCAAUCGACUCCGUUAAAUUUGAUCUAGAGUAUUUGAAAUACCUAGAAAAUAAAUUUUAUGAUUUUUUCAUAUCAUUUGCCUAGUGAUCGAAGGGGCUCAAAAUCAAUAAUUUUAAUGGUCGCAGUGAGCCGUUUGCAAGUUUAAUGGUGUAGAAAUAUCCAAAUCAUGUGAAAUUUUGAUAGAAAAUUCUUUAUGCUAUAUAAAACAAGAUUAAUAUCUUUGAUAUAAAAUUUUAACGUCAUAUUAUCACGUUUUGUAAGAUUUUUAUUUUCAGCCGUUGAUUUUGAACCCCUUCGUCCACUAGGCAAAUAAUAUCAAAAAAUUGCAUAAUUUAUAUAUAUAUAUAUAGAGUCCGGCUACUACACUUUUAUGAGUAUUGGCUCUCAUAUACUCAUAAGUUUUCGACCCUUAAAUUUAUUCCAUUAAUUAUUUCCACCCGUUAGAUCAUACUAUUCAACAAACUACCCACUCAACCCUAUGAGACCACUAUCAUUCUAAGUGGGGACCACCAUCAUCCUAACCACACAUCCCAUCAAUCAACGGUUAAAAAUUUAUGAGUACAAGGGGGUCUAUACUCAUAAGAGUAUAGUAGCACCAGCCUAUAUAUAUAUAUAUAUAUAUGUAUGUACGUAC
RNAcentral lists this long non-coding RNA (717 nucleotides) under Ananas comosus (pineapple). RNAcentral describes it as "long non-coding RNA (ACOM_LNC032907)". The record is from RNAcentral. Lineage: Eukaryota; Viridiplantae; Streptophyta; Magnoliopsida; Poales; Bromeliaceae.